UCUGUCAGCAGUAAGCUCACUUUCCAAGUUACAAGGCCAUUCUCAGCACACACUGACAACAUGCUGGGGACCCUCUGCACUCUCAUCACUGCUCUAACAUGUGUGAGUGGUGUGACGGUGGUGACACAGAAGCCUCCUGUUGUGACGCUGAGGAAAGGAGAUACAGUCACCAUGGACUGUAACCUGGGAACUGUUACUAAUGAACGAGCUUGCUGGUAUAAACAGAUUCCAGGAGGAGUUCCUCAGUAUGUUCUGAGUUUUCAUCACAGCUGGGGCUCUCCAAACUAUGGUUCUGGUUUCUCUUCUCCCAAAUUCACAUCUAAUCAUCAGUCAAAAUCAGAUUAUCGACUGAUCAUCAACAAUGUGGAGGAGGGAGACUCAGCAGUCUAUUACUGUAAAACAUGGGACACCUCUGUGAGUGAGUACGCAUCACAGUGAUUUACACCGUGACAAAAACCUCCUCACUGAAUACACU
Molecule: non-coding RNA, 475 nt
Organism: Thunnus maccoyii (southern bluefin tuna)
Lineage: Eukaryota; Metazoa; Chordata; Actinopteri; Scombriformes; Scombridae
Source: the annotation of a RefSeq genome assembly